This is a long non-coding RNA of Cyprinus carpio carpio, 690 nucleotides long. Lineage: Eukaryota; Metazoa; Chordata; Actinopteri; Cypriniformes; Cyprinidae. The record is from Ensembl.
AUCGCAGUGGUUCACAGUUCACUGGAGCAAGGCAAUGGCUUAAGCUUCAGUCUGUUCUGUACUUAAAGCUAUUGUAUGGAUUCAGAAGACUUGGACUUUAGUCAUAAAUCUAUAGAGUCAUAUGGACUACUUUCAUGAUGCUUUGCUUAUGUCUUUGGUGAUUUUUGCAACUUAAGUGAGGUCAGCUGUCAUUGUAUAUUAAAACAACUUGAUUGAAGAUCUUUACAAGUUUGGAGCGACAAGAGUGUGUGCUCUGUGUACACAUGCUGUGCUGGUUUUGAUCCCCAUACCUUAUCUCCUUGUGAAAAAGACAGGUCAGUAUUGAUCGCUGACUCCUGAAAUGUCACCAGUGGUUCUAAGUUUUGAAACAAAACUUACACCCAAGAGCACAAUGAUAAGUUUCCACUGGGUCAGAGCCAAUGAGAGAAGUGAAUGGACAUAUAUGUUGGCCUGGUUGAUUGCUGAGCUGUCUCUUUUAGGUUGGGCUGUCAGGUUAUGGAGGGGAGGCUGGAGCAGGGAUCUGUUCUGUCAUCUUGCUCAGCCUGUCUUCAUGCUUCAUUAGCAGGGCCUGUCAGAUGACACUCGUGGGUCUCAGCUAAUCACUGUAAUGGCUGUUGGAGGCCUGACAUUCACUGUCUGACCACCACCUAUAGCUCCGCUGACCUAGAACAUUCUCUCCUUGGGCCUUCC